AGCCCUACUGGAUAGUAGUGCCACCAACUAUCCUACAAUCAAACGGCGCGUUUUGACCAAUUUUCUUUUUGCCUUACAAAUGAUUUAUUUCGAGGAUCAUGUGAAGACUGCCGCUAAAGUAACAGCAUUUGUAAAAGCUCCCUGAAGAAACGACACCGACACGCUCAGCCUAGACGUCUACCUAUCCUUAAAAGAUAUUACCAAAAAGAUUGUUUUAUUUAAUAAAAAGUGACAGACACACACACACACACACAGACACAGAGUAGACCAAAAGACA
Molecule: long non-coding RNA, 277 nt
Organism: Thalassophryne amazonica
Lineage: Eukaryota; Metazoa; Chordata; Actinopteri; Batrachoidiformes; Batrachoididae
Exons: 3
Source: RefSeq, a predicted model, not a curated record